AUGCACCGGAUCCCAUCAGAACUCCGCA
RNAcentral lists this non-coding RNA (28 nucleotides) under Arabidopsis thaliana (thale cress). RNAcentral also lists the same sequence under 2 other names. Lineage: Eukaryota; Viridiplantae; Streptophyta; Magnoliopsida; Brassicales; Brassicaceae. The record is from RNAcentral.